GUUACGAUGAAAGAUUCAAGCUUCAACGUCUUGGUUGUUUUUGCAAUGUUUGCCUUUCUUUUACUAGUCAUACAAGAGGGGGGCCAGAAAUCCGCGCUUUCAGCGUCAGAUGCCAUCAAAAUUGAGGAGCGAGCUUACGGCCACCGUCCUGCUAGUACUACUCGUCCCACAACUACUACAAAGAGGUUUAACGGGCAAUUCAAGGGUCAAGGACGCUAGUGGAACUUCUUGCAGUCGUCCCCCCAAGCACUAAAUGGAGCCUAGAGCAACAUGGAAGAAAUGAGAUUCUUUGCUUCAGCGGAUCACAGAAUACAAGAAAAGUUUGGUUGGGCACCACGGGCAUUACAGUCGAGCUGAACAAUAAAAUUUUCCUCAUCUUUCGUUGAAA
Dermacentor albipictus is the source of this 388-nucleotide long non-coding RNA. RefSeq lists it as uncharacterized. NCBI's taxonomy places the organism in Eukaryota, Metazoa, Arthropoda, Arachnida, Ixodida, Ixodidae. The record is from RefSeq and is a predicted model, not a curated record.